Molecule: ribosomal RNA, 650 nt
Filed under: Glaucotrema glaucophaenum
Lineage: Eukaryota; Fungi; Ascomycota; Lecanoromycetes; Ostropales; Graphidaceae
Description: SSU rRNA
Rfam family: Bacterial small subunit ribosomal RNA
Source: RNAcentral
GUAUAGGGAAAACUAAUUAAAUGUGAUGUACCYACUAAUAUUAGUAAUUAAUAUGAGAUUAACUAAGUUAAUUAAAAUUCAAAGUAGAUAUGUGAUUAUGACAAUAUNUGCUUAGGUCUUGACCAAAUCACGUGCCAGCAGUCGGUAAUACGUGAAAGACAAGUGUUAUUCAUCUUUARCAGGUUUAAAGGGUACCUAKACGGUUAAUUAAGCAACUANAUGUNCUAAUUAACUAGAGUUUUAUGUGAGAAGGAUAGAGCACGGCGAAGUGGAGAUAGAGAAAUGGAUUAGAUACCCUAGUAUUGUGGGCAGAAAAUGCUGAGUGUCAUAGACAAGAAUUUUUUUGUGUAUAAAUGAAAGUGUAAGCACUCCACCUCAAGAGUAACGUGGCAACAUGGGAACUGAAAUCAUUAGACCGUUUCUGAAACUCGUAGUGAAGUAUGUUAUUUAAUUUGAUACUCCACAAAUAACCUUACCACAAUUUGUAUAACUAGAAUACUAUAUAAGAUAGUUACAAGUGUUGCACGGCUGUCUUCAGUCAAUGUUGUGAAAUUUUGGUUGGAUCCAAAAAAUUGACGUAAACCCUUACUUUAUUUAUUAUAAAGUAGUUCGCCGCUAUAUUGGUAGUGAUAUAUGGGACUAGGACAAGU